GUCCACGCCGUAAACGAUGGAUACUAGGUGCUUCGGGUAUUGACCCCUGAGGUGCCGCAGCUAACGCAAUAAGUAUCCCGCCUGGGAAGUACGGCCGCAAGGCUAAAAACUCAAAGGAAUUGACGGGGGCCCCGCACAAGCGGUGGAGCAUGUGGUUUAAUUCGACGCAACGCGAAGAACCUUACCUGGGCUUGACAUUGAUGGAAUCCUGCAGAGAUGCGGGAGUACUCUUCGGAGACCUGAAAACAGGUGCUGCAUGGCUGUCGU
RNAcentral lists this ribosomal RNA (267 nucleotides) under uncultured bacterium. RNAcentral's name for it is "partial 16S ribosomal RNA". It matches the Rfam family "Bacterial small subunit ribosomal RNA", at positions 793 to 1055 of the family's 1533-position model. The record is from RNAcentral.